ACUUGGAAACAGGUGCUAAUACCGCAUAACAGUUUAUGCCGCAUGGCAUAAGAGUGAAAGGCGCUUUCGGGUGUCGCUGAUGGAUGGACCCGCGGUGCAUUAGCUAGUUGGUGAGGUAACGGCUCACCAAGGCCACGAUGCAUAGCCGACCUGAGAGGGUGAUCGGCCACACUGGGACUGAGACACGGCCCAGACUCCUACGGGAGGCAGCAGUAGGGAAUCUUCGGCAAUGGACGAAAGUCUGACCGAGCAACGCCGCGUGAGUGAAGAAGGUUUUCGGAUCGUAAAACUCUGUUGUUAGAGAAGAACAAGGACGUUAGUAACUGAACGUCCCCUGACGGUAUCUAACCAGAAAGCCACGGCUAACUACGUGCCAGCAGCCGCGGUAAUACGUAGGUGGCAAGCGUUGUCCGGAUUUAUUGGGCGUAAAGCGAGCGCAGGCGGUUUCUUAAGUCUGAUGUGAAAGCCCCCGGCUCAACCGGGGAGGGUCAUUGGAAACUGGGAGACUUGAGUGCAGAA
RNAcentral lists this ribosomal RNA (519 nucleotides) under Enterococcus faecalis. RNAcentral's name for it is "bacterial SSU rRNA". It matches the Rfam family "Bacterial small subunit ribosomal RNA", at positions 148 to 653 of the family's 1533-position model. The record is from RNAcentral. Lineage: Bacteria; Bacillati; Bacillota; Bacilli; Lactobacillales; Enterococcaceae.